AUUCCAGCUCCAAUAGCGUAUAUUAAAGUUGUUGCAGUUAAAAAGCUCGUAGUUGGAGUUCAGAGUGAGCUCAGCUGGUCGGCCUAAUGGGUCAGAACUGGUUGACUCCCUCUUGUUUGUGGGUCUCGCCCGGAGUUAACUCUUCGGAUGUGGAUCCCACAUCGUUUACCUUGAAAAAAUUAGAGUGUUUAAAGCAGGCAUUUUGCUGUGAAUACAUUAGCAUGGAAUAAUAACAUAGGACUUUGGUUCUAUUUUGUUGGUUGGAGGCCAAGGUAAUGAUUAAUAGGGAUAGUUGGGGGUAUUCAUAUUUAAUUGUCAGAGGUGAAAUUCUUGGAUUUAUGAAAGAUGAACUCAUGCGAAAGCAUUUACCAAGGAUGUUUUCAUUA
This 386-nucleotide ribosomal RNA is filed under the name Telonemia sp. RNAcentral's name for it is "partial small subunit ribosomal RNA". It matches the Rfam family "Eukaryotic small subunit ribosomal RNA", at positions 582 to 975 of the family's 1831-position model. The record is from RNAcentral. Lineage: Eukaryota; Telonemia.